AUGAAUAAUCACAAGGUGGAGGUGUGCCCGCUCAGACCCAGAGCUGGCACAGGGACCUCUCCCAGAAGGCUGCAGGGCUUCCCUCCUAACCCUCCAACUGCUCACUUGCUGAGCCUGUGCUUAUCUGUUCAGUGGAACUGCUGUGUGCCACGUUCCUCAGAAAGGCUCUUCCGGGGCUGGGUUCUGACGGUUCCCCUGUUUUAGCACAGCUCUUGUUGGCAGGCAGAUGGCUACGAGCACAGCCACAGGCUGAAGUGUCAACAUUUCAGACAACACAGACGGUACAAUGACAAAUUGGGGAUCAGCUCCAAUCUCAGCCCCCCAUUUAAUAUGUUGCUGAAUAUUCUUCUGAACAGAGUCCAUCCCACACUGUCCCAUGGUACAAGACGCUCCAAGGGGCUGAAGAGAGAGGGACUUCUGCAGUCAACACAUCUGGGACACUCUUGGACAGUCACAAUGUGCAUUUGGAUAUUAAAGGCUCUGAAAAGUUCUGCACCAAAUAAACCCCCGGAUUGGCUUGAUCCAAUGCCACGUUUCCAAAACCUACUUGCCCAUGGGACACCUUAGUCCAUAACACAGGUUGGCAUUUCUUCUAGAGAGUGUGCUCUGAAAAGCACUGGUCUCACAACACCGUGCAUUCAUCCAGCAGGUAUUUACCAAGCAGGGACUUUGGGCCAGGUCCGAUUUGGGCUCUGGAGGUGGACCAGUCAGCCCUGGCCCCCAUGGUGUCACUUCUCAUGGGAGAGGCAGCACAGAAGUCAUUGAGAAAAUGAAGAAACACACAGGUACUUUCAGAUGCUGAUAAUGACUACCACGAGAAAAAAGAGCUCCAGGUGGUAUCAUUUUGAGACAAUCUUCUCAACAAUGAGACAGAAUGAACCAUGCAAACUUUGGGGUCUAUGAUGGUUUUGGGAAAGAGCUAGAGUGAAGAAUCCUUUGACAUAUAUUGAUACAAAUAAAGAUACAUGUGUAUAAUUUUAUGUAAUUGACAUCACAUUAUAUGCUGGCACCUGCCUUUUGUAAAUGUCACAAAUGAAAUGCCUUAAUGAAAAUGUCAAAGGUAAUAUUACCAAUCAAUAAAUAUAUUUCGCCAUCAUGUU
Molecule: non-coding RNA, 1100 nt
Organism: Macaca mulatta (Rhesus monkey)
Lineage: Eukaryota; Metazoa; Chordata; Mammalia; Primates; Cercopithecidae
Source: RefSeq, a predicted model, not a curated record